Molecule: long non-coding RNA, 1585 nt
Organism: Mauremys mutica (yellowpond turtle)
Lineage: Eukaryota; Metazoa; Chordata; Testudines; Geoemydidae
Exons: 8
Source: RefSeq, a predicted model, not a curated record
UUAAAUCAACCUCUAAGUAUUGGGGAGUAGGCUGAAAGCUUCACAGGGAUUCAUUAUCCUACAUCUGCCUAUUGCUGGACUCUUUCGCCUUCCUCUAAGGCACCUGGAACUGACAACUAUCAGCAACACUGUACAAGGCUGGGUUGAAAUUCCAGAAGCUGGUGGGGAAAGGUUAUGUAAAGAGGAUUGUUGAUUAAAACUCUCUCCCAUCAAAAUGGAAUAGCUGUAAACAAUAGACUGACCCCCAACCAGGAGAACUGAUUCAACAGGGCAGAGGUUGCUUGGAAAGGAAGUCACCUAGUAGGUGUGUCUGGUCAUCUGAGGAGGCUGAUCAGGAAGUCACCAGACAGAGGGAUGGAAGGGUAGAAACUGCUCUUGUUUGCCCUCUGUUUCUGAUGUAUCUCACCAGCUCAAGCUGAGAGGAGAUGCAAGUAGGAUCAUGAAGAGGCAAGAGAAACUCUGCUUUCCUAAACACAGUUGGAUUCCCAAGUGUGGAAGAAGAUAAUGAAGAGAGAGGAGCAGACUGCCUGGCUGUAAAUCUAACUGCAGAACACGUGGGAUCCCAAAAUUGUCCUGCUACAAUCUGGCACAACUGUCAGAGCUGAUAAAGUAUUCUAUUUGUUGGUACCACCAAAACCAGUGCAAGCAUUGACAAGGCGUCCACUAUCUCUCUAUGACAGCUCUUUGGAUCCUUCAUUGUCCCUUCACCCUCAAGACAAUGAGACAGACAUCACAUUUUGUGUUUACUUCUUGUGGAAAAUUCUCAGGUACCACUGUGAUGGGGAGCUUUAAAACGACUUAGCGAGACAGAUCAUCUUUCUGACAAAUCAAAGUAUGAAUCAGAAUUGGAAAGAUAUUUGCAAACAUUUUUGCCCACUAUUCACUCACCUGAACUUACAAAUGUGGAACCAGAUUCAGUACCUGGCUUCUGCAGAACCCAAGCUCCUGGGUGCUGGCAACAGACUGUCUGUGUAGAAUACAGAUGAAGUGAUGUAACCUUCCAUCAGGAGCUUGCUGAUGUAGCUCAGAAAGUGGAGACUGGGGCAUGGAUGAGGACAAAUUGAUGAAAUUCAGUCCAGAUAAGAAGGGGUUGGUGCCAAAUGGACAGGGGAAGGAACCUGAAAGUAUACUGAAAGAGUAUUUGAUGCCAACAAUUAGCACUUCAGAUUAGAAACCUUUCAAUAAGUCCAUUUUGGAGUGAAUGGACUAUUAAGAUUGUGCCUUCAGGCUAACAACUUUAAUAAGAGCAUAUAAGAGAACGGAAAAAUACCUUAGAAUGGUAUGUUAUGCAUGACCAACAUUUUCAGUAUAAAUUAAAAAACAGAGAUUAAUUUUAUUCAUUACUUGAGCAAUUGCUGAUGAAGCAGCAGCACAUGUUGGGGAACAAUGCCUUUGAAAGCAUUACUGCCAGUGAUGAGACAAAAGAAUUGGAUUGCAUCUAGCAGUGGGAACAGAAAGAAACAGAGGUAUAGCUGAGUGCAUCAACCAGACUAAUCUGUAUGCCCAAAGCAACCUACAUGUCAGUGUGCUUUUAGGAGCAAGAUUGAUUGAAUGAAGACAUCGGAAGAAACCUUCAGUCACAGUG